Micropterus dolomieu (smallmouth bass) is the source of this 526-nucleotide long non-coding RNA. RefSeq lists it as uncharacterized. The record is from RefSeq and is a predicted model, not a curated record. The transcript has 2 exons. NCBI's taxonomy places the organism in Eukaryota, Metazoa, Chordata, Actinopteri, Centrarchiformes, Centrarchidae.
AAAAAACACACCUUCUGUACAUCUGGUUGCCGGACAUGCUGGUAGACUUCUUCUUCAGAUUGCUGCCAUGGUGGUUUCGAUGGUUCUCUACAAGCAGAUUGGGAACAAGGCGUAGAGUUUUCUGUUUGGGAUGAGAUAACUACAUUAUAAUUGGUGGAGAAGUUUUACUUGUAAGCAGUUUUCUAUGUAUAAAGUUGUUUUUGAUCAUUUCAGUCAAAACAGACAGACGAACUUUAAUGAUCUAAAUUACGUUAUGGGCAUGUAGAGCAUUAAAAGAUGGAGAGCAAAUGUGUUCUUAGUUUUAAAACUUUAUCAGUAGAAUUUAUCCUGUGAUUUAUUUAUGUUUUAGCAAAGGCUGUCUGCCAACAUUAUAUAUGCUGAUGCAAAUAGCUAAUAUGUGAUGAUGCACACGGCAGAAAGGAUCUGCAUAAGUCAUGUAUGUUGUCACUCGCAUUCACUACAGUAAUAUCAUACAUUUAUUUUUGUAUUUUUGAUCAUAUUGAAAUAAAAAAUAUCACAAUCUUCA